UCUACCCUCCUCCCUUCUAUUUCUUCUCACUUUCUCUUUUCUAAUCUUACAUCUCUCUCUUAUUCAAAGCUAAAAAAUUUACUUGUUCUAUUGAUAGUUUAUAUUUUAAAUUUGGAGAAAACUAUAUUGCAGCAGCCUGAUUCAUUUUUGGAAAUCAAGUCUUCAUAACUUUUGAAUUCAGUAAUAUCAUUCUAAUUUCUAAUAUUAUUUUUGUUUUGUGUCUUAUGUUUAUUAUAUUUUUUAUUUGAUAUUGUAAAUAGUGUUUAAAAUAUUUGUUAGAUUUUAAUAUGUCAAC
This 295-nucleotide long non-coding RNA is filed under the name Solanum tuberosum (potato). RNAcentral describes it as "long non-coding RNA (STUB_LNC005958)". The record is from RNAcentral. Lineage: Eukaryota; Viridiplantae; Streptophyta; Magnoliopsida; Solanales; Solanaceae.